Molecule: ribosomal RNA, 253 nt
Filed under: uncultured bacterium
Lineage: Bacteria
Description: partial 16S ribosomal RNA
Rfam family: Bacterial small subunit ribosomal RNA
Source: RNAcentral
GACGGAGGGUGCAAGCGUUGUUCGGAAUUACUGGGCGUAAAGCGCGGGCAGGUGGCUCUUUAAGUCCUUUGUGAAAUUCCGGGGCUCAACUCCGGAUGUGCAUAGGAUACUGGAGAGCUAGAGACUGGUAGAGGCGAGCGGAAUUCCUGGUGUAGCGGUGGAAUGCGUAGAUAUCGGGAGGAACACCAGUGGCGAAGGCGGCUUUCUGGCCUGUUCUUGACGCUGAGGCGCGAAAGCUAGGGGAGCGAACGGG